AGAUAUAUGUGAGGACUUCUAAUCCUAAAGUAGCUAUAAGCUAUAUCUU
This 49-nucleotide transfer RNA is filed under the name Longipodacrangonyx sp. 1 MDMBR-2012. Its description in RNAcentral is "transfer RNA Serine". The record is from RNAcentral. Lineage: Eukaryota; Metazoa; Arthropoda; Malacostraca; Amphipoda; Metacrangonyctidae.